UCGUAACAAGGUUUCCGUAGGUGAACCUGCGGAAGGAUCAUUAAAAAAUACAUUACACAUUGUUUUUGCGAACAAAAAAAUAAAUUUUUUUAUUCUAACAAACUAAAUCAAAACUUUCAACAACGGAUCUCUUGGUUCUCGCAUCGAUGAAGAACGCAGCGAAUUGCGAUACGUAGUAUGACUUGCAGACGUGAAUCAUCGAAUCUUUGAACGCACAUUGCGCCUCGAGGCAUUCCUCGAGGCAUGCCUGUUUGAGCGUCGCAUCCCCUCUAACCCCCGGUUAGGCGUUGCUCCGAAAUAUCAACCGCGCUGUCAAACACGUUUACAGCACGACAUUUCGCCCUCAAAUCAGGUAGGACUACCCGCUGAACUUAAGCAUAUCAAUAA
This 387-nucleotide unclassified non-coding RNA is filed under the name Clavispora lusitaniae. Its description in RNAcentral is "sequence contains 18S rRNA gene, ITS1, 5.8S rRNA gene, ITS2, 28S rRNA gene". The stretch from base 112 to 261 matches the Rfam family "5.8S ribosomal RNA". The record is from RNAcentral. Lineage: Eukaryota; Fungi; Ascomycota; Pichiomycetes; Serinales; Metschnikowiaceae.